UACCAUGACUUUCCCCUGAAUGUCUACUGC
RNAcentral lists this non-coding RNA (30 nucleotides) under Rattus norvegicus (Norway rat). Lineage: Eukaryota; Metazoa; Chordata; Mammalia; Rodentia; Muridae. The record is from RNAcentral.